RNAcentral lists this ribosomal RNA (441 nucleotides) under Triticum aestivum (bread wheat). RNAcentral describes it as "partial small subunit ribosomal RNA". The record is from RNAcentral. Lineage: Eukaryota; Viridiplantae; Streptophyta; Magnoliopsida; Poales; Poaceae.
AUGAAGGGAGGCCGGAAUACGCACUCACGUGAAGUUGCUAUACAAUGCUUGCUUAUCGCUACAUAUUGGAUGGCAUGUAAAAUAGACACAUACCAAAUGCUUAAUUAUCACGUGAAGUUGCUGUACUGCAGAAUGGUUGAACAUAAAUUGCUUAUUUUCAGAAGGAAGAAAAAGGCAGUACAUAUGUCUGAAAUGCUCUACAUGAUUUUGUUAGAAUUCAUUUCCCUGAUGAUAGUCAACGACCAAACUUUGAUCCAGCGGGAUUGUGCUGGUGUUGUGGUUGAAGCUGCAUUUGCCAAAAAUCCAUUUCCCAGCUUGCUAGCUCAAAGAUCUUCAUUCUUCAACACGAUCCUUUGCAAACUUUUGGAUGUUGUGAAAUUCACUGUGCCGCCGACACUUAAGCUUCAAGAACAUAAGGAAACUAUGCAUCCAGAUAUAUGA